Acanthochromis polyacanthus (spiny chromis) is the source of this 3390-nucleotide long non-coding RNA. RefSeq lists it as uncharacterized. NCBI's taxonomy places the organism in Eukaryota, Metazoa, Chordata, Actinopteri, Pomacentridae. The record is from RefSeq and is a predicted model, not a curated record. The transcript has 3 exons.
UACUCCGCCAAAGAACAGCGGAGUUAUGUGAUGAUCAGCGUACGUUUGUCUGUGAAUCUGUCUGUCUGUGUGAAACAUCACUCAAAAACUGAAUAACAGAUUUGGAUGAAAUUUUCAGGAAGAUCAGAAAUGACACAAGGACCAAGUGAUUAGAUUUUGGCAGUGAUGUGGCUUGUAGUCUGGAUCCAAGAAUUUCCCAUUGCCAGAUGGUUUUUUUGUUUCUGCUUGUGUGUUUUACAGCCGGGAAUCAAACGGAUAAAACGUACCUUGUCCUGGUCCGUGUAUAUUUUGGUAAUUGGAUUUUCCGUUCUAAAGCAGGUAUUGAAAAACAAAAAACGAGUGGUAAUUUGAUUUUCGUUUUCAAAGGCAAAAAUUAAAAUUGAAAUACAAGGCGUUUUUCUUUUUCACGAUCAAAAGGGGAUAUACGAUUUUUAAGAAAUGCUUUGAUUUUCAUUUUUUAUUUACGAUAACAAAAAAUAAAAUAAGUAAGAGACAGAAACGAAGAAAGGUCCGUUUUUUCGUUUUCUGAGACCGGAAGUGGUCAUCAGCAAGGGUGGAGCCAAACAGUACGGUGCAUCGACUGUAAAUAAAUGGGUUUUUUUGUUAGUUUUCAUGGUCAAAAUGAAAGAUCAAGUGGCCGAUCUUAAAAUAAAUCAAUAUCGAUUUUUUAUUUAUUAAGUUUUGCGACGCAAGGGGGCGUGGUAACCUGAUUGACAGUUUGUCUGGAAUGACUGCCAGUCUGGAGGAUGUAGCCGAGACUCUGCUCUCCUGGAUUGGAUUAAUUCUGAUAUGGUCACUGGUGGUUUAUCGGUGAAGAAGCAGAACCUUUUCCACAGACACUUUUCCUGCCUGUUGGCUUGUUUUAACCAUCUUGCUCCCUUCGGCGGAUUCUACCGGCAGACACUGAAAGUUCGGUGUCUCAUGUUCACUGUGAGGAUCUUCUGAGUGAAGCCAACAGAAGGAAAACCUCAUCUGGUUGUGAAGAAGGAGACUGAAUGGACGACACCCUCAGUGAACCACUUCCUGUUUAACUUUCACUGACAGAAGGACAGACCAACUCUUUCAGCAGUUUAUUAUUUUCUGUUCUUAGUAUUCACAGAUUCUAUUUAUCACCUUUAACUUCAUCUCUGCUGCUGUAGCAGAAAUACAACAGGGUUUCUGCAGGACAUUAAUAGUCAUUAAGUUGAUUUUGCAAAAAUUAAGGCCUUAAAUGGCAUUAAAAAUCAUUAAAUUUGAUUCUUGGUGGCAUUAAAAUUUCUUUCUGCAGUUUUCAAGAAAGUAAUUGACAAUAAUAUAUAUUUAUAAAUUGCGAUUUGUCAGAUAUGUGCAUCUGCGGAAACAUGCCGAAGCAUUGAGAUAAUUGUUCCAGCCGGUUGGGUACAAUUUCUAAAAACUGCAUGUUUUUAAAGUGGUCGGCAGGCUGGACCAGGCUGGGAAAUGGAGAAACACAAAUUCCAGCAAAAAUGGCUCAAAAACGUGGAUUUCAGAGAAUGACUGCAGCCCGUUGGUGUUCAGGGGUGGUUCCCAGAUUCAGAAAUAGUCAAAUGUAGGGUUUUCAUAUAAAAAUCAUCUUUUACAACAACAAAAAAAACCCGUGUAAUUUGAGUUCAUGGUCGUGGCAUUAAAAUUUGUAAUCAUUUUUAUCACUAAACACCUUGAGAAUUAAGAAAAAAAUACUACAGGUCAAAUACUUACUUGGAAAAUUAUUGAAAUUGUUCCAAAAGAGAAAGCUCGGAGGUCAAUGGAAGACAUGUUGUUUGAACUUGGAAUGUGGUAUGUCUUACAAGUAUUAAUAUUUUCCUGCCAAAAAUGCUGCAAUUUAGCAGUUCAGAGUGUGGGGUGCUGGUGUAAUGUUUCGUGUUAUUUCAGUCAGCAAUAGGUACAGCUAGACAGCCUUAAAAAAUGUUGCAAUUUUGCAACUGUGGCCUCGUAGGGUUAAAUGGACUGUACAAUACAGUGGCUUUGAAAUAACAGUACUUUAAAUUAUCACAGAACAAAACGGUAGUUUGUACAUUUGACAGUUUUGGUGGCAUACUACUGCAGCCUUACCACAAUGCACAAACACCUAAAGUGAAAACACGGGCACUUUACAUAUUAGCCCUUCUACUGCCCUAAGUGCUCACACAUGCUGUAUUUUAAUAGACCUGAAUUCCCAAUAAAUCUGUUCUCAUUUACAUAUUUUUCUAUUUCUGUUGUCAGGCAACAAAAUGAGUACAAAUUAGUGACUGAAAUGUGGAUCAAUUAUCACCACAGUGUUUUCACUAGACUGUUUUUUCAAAAAUUAUGUAUUCAGCUGUAUUUUCAUAAAGAUUGAAGGCACUACCUGAGUCAGAGAACAACUGCACAACAGGGCAAAAAGGCACUGCUUUAGCAUCUCUGCUGGUAACAUAUCCAUCUCCUCUAUGCUGCAGUUGGUUUAAAAUGCAGCCGUAAUUAUUUUUUUUUACUUCAUUAAAGGGUGUAGUAAAAUGUAGGUGUUUCGCUGUCACACUACUGGCUUAAAUAAUGAGCCCUCUUUUUAAUUUCUAUCAUAUUGGAGUUGCCAGUUUACAGCAUUGCACUUUAAUAUGCAUACCUUUGUUUACAUUUUGCACUUUGCAGCAUUACACAGUGACAUAGUUUCAGAAAAAAAAUUUAAUGAAAUGCACAUCUUGCUUUUUGGAGGUCAUUUCUAUUGACAGAAUAUAAAGUAAAAUAGCUGACAAAAUGGACAGGAAAAUAGUUGUUUAUGGCAGCCUUGCCUGGUUUUAUUCCAGAAGAUGGUCAUGUGAUAGGAGCAUGAUGAAUCAGAGAGCAGCACGAACUGACAGCUCAGAACUAAUCAGAAAGCAAACAUGGAUGUUUGUACACAGUUGCAGAAACAACUAAAACUGUGGUCCACAACAUUUCUAAAAGUCUCAAUUUUCAUGGUGCUUCAAAUGCCAGAAUAGUGCUGGCACUGGGUUUAAAUGUAGCUGAAGUUACGCAUUUUUAAAUCAUAACACAUUAGUGUGGAUGUAGCCUAAAAGUAUUGGUUGAAAGUUUGCUUUUCAGGAUAAAGACAUGGUGAGUGGGAGACCAGUGCAGUCUGCAGACAUGGACUGGAGCAAAUGUCAGCAAACACUUCAGGAGUUCGAGGAGGUGCUGCAGCAUCUGGAGGUGCUAUUUUCUCUCAGCAAAGUGCAACGUUUAUUCUGAAUUUUCAAGAACAUUUAAACACAGAACAACAAUACUAGUGCAAUAUAUUUUUAAAAGAGCACAGCUUCAAGGUUUAAUGAAAUGUAUUGCUUUCUUUAAUUCAUUCCAGGGGCACAUUUGGCUGCCAGUAUCAUGUGUGCAAAUGUUUACAUUCAUUAAAAUCUGCAAGUGAUUUCAAUCAUGUAGCAAAUCACUCAGUAAGGUGCAUUACAG